RNAcentral lists this ribosomal RNA (406 nucleotides) under uncultured bacterium. Its description in RNAcentral is "partial 16S ribosomal RNA". It matches the Rfam family "Bacterial small subunit ribosomal RNA", at positions 30 to 526 of the family's 1533-position model. The record is from RNAcentral.
AUUGAACGCUAGCGGGAGGCCUAACACAUGCAAGUCGAACGAGUGGCGGACGGGUGAGUAAUGUCUGGGAAACUGCCUGAUAGCGGGGGAUAACUACUCGAAACGGUAGCUAAUACCGCAUACUAUCGGAGAUGCCGAUAUGGGAUUAGCUAGUUGGUGGGGUAAAGGCUCACCAAGGCAACGAUCCGUAGCUGGUCUGAGAGGCCGACCAGCCACACUGGAACUGAGCCACGGCCCAGACUCCUACGGGAGGCAGCAGUGGGGAAUAUUGGACAAUGGGCGAAACCCUGAUCCAGCCAUCCCGCGUGUAUGAUGAAGGCCGUCGGGUUGUAAAGUACUUUCGGCGGAGAAGCGUUAUCCGCAGAAUAAGCACCGGCUAACUACGUGCCAGCAGCCGCGGUAAUAC